AAGGGAACAAAUGCCUACGUGUUGAGCCCCAUUUUGGCCCUGGUUUGGGCCUUGAGGACAAACCCGAGCCUGGCUCAAGUUUCUGCAGCCUUGUAGGAGAGUCUAAGCCUGGCUUGAGUUUUGUGACCUGUCUCAGUCACUUCCGGGUGACUCAGCAAGACCUAUUUGGCCCUGCCUCUGCCCCACCGUUGUUGAUGUAGAGUUUUGCCAUUGGCCCUGUCAGUCACUCCAUACCCUCUGUCACCCUUCCCUGACUCUUAUGUCAUCGUGCCCCACCAAAAAUCCCCCUGCCUAUGUUCCAAAUUUAUAUAAGUGAGAGGCUGAUGCCAUAGAAUUGAGUUCCUGCUUUGACAGACUCCCGGCCUGGGUGUGUUUCUUUUGGGCCAUCCACACUCGCCAUCCCACUCAGUCCCGGAGAGACCCAGACAGGAUCAGGACCUCUCUCCUCUAGCCCAGACCUGCUGGCACCUAAGUGGAGAAAACAAAAUGUACCACCAUGCUUCAUGGAGCCACUCUCCUUGGGCAUCUCAGAAUAACUUUGCCCAUGGUCUCCAGGUAUCCCCAGCAGACAGUGUACCUGGAUGAGCUGAUGGUGUUUCAGCAUCGCCUCUGGGUCUCUCCAUCGCUGAGGGGUGUGCACUAUUGAUGUUAACCAAUGGAGGCGAUGAAACCAAGGGACAGAGAAUUGUUCUGCAAGGCCAUGCAGCUGCAGUGGGAAACUGGAAUCUGAGCUGGAACUGUAGAAUCCUCCUCCACCCUCUGCUGUGUUGAGGAUGGAGUGCAUG
RNAcentral lists this long non-coding RNA (785 nucleotides) under Mus pahari (shrew mouse). Its description in RNAcentral is "predicted gene 14110 (MGP_PahariEiJ_G0005563.1)". The record is from RNAcentral. Lineage: Eukaryota; Metazoa; Chordata; Mammalia; Rodentia; Muridae.